UGGAAAUUAGGGGUUUUUAGCCCUACCCUGCUCACUGACAAGAAUGUUAAAUAGCCGCGGUAUUUUGACCGUGCAAAGGUAGCAUAAUCAUUAGUUUUUUAAUUGAAAACUUGUAUGAAUGGUUGGACAAUGCAGCUAUAAAAGAAGGUCUGUUCGACCUUUAAUUUUUUACGUGAUCUGAGUUCAGACCGGACAGCGUAAUUUCUUUUAAGAGUUCUUAUCAAAGAAGGAGUUUGCGACCUCGAUGUUGAAUUAAAAUGUCUUUAUAGUGCAUAAAUUUAAACAAUUAUAUUUGAUAAAAAUUUAAAUGAUCCUUAAUAAAGAUUAAAAGAUCAAGUUACUUUAGGGAUAAAACCAAUUUUUUAGAAUAAAAGUAAAUUUGGAAGAUUUAUUUGGUUGGGGCGACAAAUGUAUAAUGUUAAAUAACUGCUAAAUUAACUUCUAAGUGAAAAGGCUUAGAUUUUCUAGAGGGACGAUAAGACCCUAUAAAGCUUUAUAGAUUGAGUGGAUUAAGAAAAAGCUGUCUCUUCUAUUAAAAUUGA
RNAcentral lists this ribosomal RNA (542 nucleotides) under Scylla olivacea (orange mud crab). RNAcentral's name for it is "partial 16S ribosomal RNA". Lineage: Eukaryota; Metazoa; Arthropoda; Malacostraca; Decapoda; Portunidae. The record is from RNAcentral.